AGACAAACAUGUGUGGAAGUCUGAGGAAAUAAAGAAACAUCACAAAAUUAGUCAAUCAGUAAAUCCCAUUGAAAAGAGAGAAAUUUCAGGUCAUUUAAUCAACAAGCAUGUUAAUAAAAUUAAGGCGAAAUCAACUAAUGAUUUACUAAAGAUAGUGCAUGCCACAGUAUAUAUUUGUAGAAUAUGGUAAUAGAAACCAAGCAAACAACAGGCAUUUCAGUUUUGAGUGGAAAAUUACAAGUAUUGUAUUUAAGUUCUUUCUUCUUCUCUUAAGUACUCAUAACAUGCACACAUGCAUAGACAAACAAAAAUGUGUACUUAUACAUAUUUAUAAAAGUGAAAGAAUUGAACCCAAAAACUAGGUGAGAGGCCUUCUCCACAUUAAUUCCUGAAAAGAUCACACACAAGCAACUAUUGAAAUGGGAUUUCUCCAAUAAAGAAAAUAUAGAAAGCACUCAAAUACACUACAAAUUUAGGCUUUAACAAUAUGCCUUAUAUGCUGUUAAAAAUUUAAAACAUGUUAUUAAUAAAAAUUAUCAGCGAACACUUAGUGAUGUGCAGAAACCCUGUAACUUAAAGUCUUUAACAGUACUUUUAUAUUAAUUUACAGCAUUGUUGUACAUGAUCUUGUAUAUAUUAUUUAUUACUUUAUGUCUUAUCUUGAUGUCUAAAUAUGUCAUCUUGAUGUUAUUUAUUACUUUAACAUUAUGUACAAAAUGAUGUUAAAAAAGUAUUGUUAAAGUUUAGAUUUGUUGUAGUGAUAGUUGAUAUUCUACUAUAAACUAUCAGAGACUAUGACAUUUAAUGAUAACAUAAUGUUUUCAAGUCAAAUAACAUCUUCAUAUUUCAUUAAUGAUGAUGUCAAAUACAAUGAAGUAUAAAUAUAAUGCUUGAUCAAAUGAGCCCAAACCCUAGCUGAAGUCUAACUAAAAUUUACUUAACCUGCAUAUUUGCGAGAAAAAAGAAAUCCAACAUCCUAAGCAAGGCCUGAACAAAGCUCCUCGUGAAACUAUUUACCAUAGUAAUGAAAGUAUAUAACAUAUAAAUUAUAAAGAUCUACAAAAAAUUCUACUAUUCAAUUCAUACAGUUGUCUUCUAUCAUGAAUGAUGCUGCAGCAGCAGCAGCAGCAAAUUAUGCAGUUUCAACCUUAAUAAUAUGCAGUUGUGAAAUACUGAAGUUUCCAUCCAUUGCCAUUGAACUAGUAGUCUAGCGGUUCGGAAUUUUCAAGUAGAUAGAUUUGAAGCUCCUAAUGAAAAAUCUUCAAUGAGAUUACCUGAAAGGAAGCGUAUAGCGUGAG
This 1298-nucleotide unclassified non-coding RNA is filed under the name Hevea brasiliensis (rubber tree). The record is from RNAcentral. Lineage: Eukaryota; Viridiplantae; Streptophyta; Magnoliopsida; Malpighiales; Euphorbiaceae.